Molecule: microRNA, 20 nt
Filed under: Marchantia polymorpha subsp. ruderalis
Lineage: Eukaryota; Viridiplantae; Streptophyta; Marchantiopsida; Marchantiales; Marchantiaceae
Source: RNAcentral
AACGUCUUCAGAAAGGAGUC